Molecule: ribosomal RNA, 253 nt
Filed under: uncultured bacterium
Lineage: Bacteria
Description: partial 16S ribosomal RNA
Rfam family: Bacterial small subunit ribosomal RNA
Source: RNAcentral
GACGAAGGGGGCUAGCGUUGUUCGGAAUUACUGGGCGUAAAGCGCGUGUAGGCGGUUGGCCUAGUCAGGUGUGAAAGCCUUGAGCUUAACUCAAGAAAUGCACUUGAUACUGGGUGACUAGAGGACCGGAGAGGAUAGUGGAAUUCCCAGUGUAGUGGUGAAAUACGUAGAGAUUGGGAAGAACACCAGUGGCGAAGGCGGCUAUCUGGACGGUUACUGACGCUAAGACGCGAAAGCGUGGGGAGCAAACAGG